RNAcentral lists this ribosomal RNA (253 nucleotides) under uncultured bacterium. Its description in RNAcentral is "partial 16S ribosomal RNA". It matches the Rfam family "Bacterial small subunit ribosomal RNA", at positions 524 to 776 of the family's 1533-position model. The record is from RNAcentral.
UACGAAGGGGGCUAGCGUUACUCGGAUUGACUGGGCGUAAAGGGCGCGUAGGCGGUUUGUAGAGUCAGACGUGAAAUUCCUGGGCUCAACCUGGGGGCUGCGUUUGAUACGUGCGGACUUGAGUUCGGAAGAGGGUCGUGGAAUUCCCAGUGUAGAGGUGAAAUUCGUAGAUAUUGGGAAGAACACCGGUGGCGAAGGCGGCGACCUGGUCCGAUACUGACGCUGAGGCGCGAAAGCGUGGGGAGCAAACAGG